GACUGUAGUAUUAUAGUCAUAACGUGAUGAAUCUCCAAAAUGAGGGAAAGAUCCCACUAAAUUUGCACCAGCAACAAGUCUCUGAUAAUUUUAGCGCGUUGUGUGAUAGCAAAGAUUGGCAGUUUGGAUUAGGAACGUAAUGUAAUAUUCUAAAUGACCAAAACACAUCCAACAAGUCAAUUCAAACUUCCUUGCAGAUUCAAGCUCAAAGUAGUGAAAGCCUUUUGUCAUGCUGGAUACCAAGGACACAUCUCUUGUCCUCAUGAGGCCUAAUAAGUUCUGCUUAUUAGCAUAGUACCACAUCGCUUGGGUACCUUUGGGAUGCAAUGUGUAUAAAAGCAUGGGCAACCUUCCUGUAAUCCAGUUUUAAAGGGAGAGUUCUACUUCUACCUAUGAGAUUAUCGUGGUAUAGAAGUCAGUUUACUGAAGGGAUGCGUUGGGUUCCGGUCUCCUACACUUUGCAGAGAGGAUAACCUGUGUGUCUCCAGCCCUGGUUCUAAGGGGUAAUAUUACCUGAGAAACUGAGGGAAUCUCAUGAAUUGAUGGCUAGAAUUCUAAAGACCAUGAAAGGUCAGUAUCUAUGUAGAUUAAACCAUGUGUCUGCAUCAAUGGAAACAUUAGAUACACCACGUAGAGAUCAGAACUUUACCUUACCCUGGCACAAUUUGGUCCAUAAGAAUUUUUAGGCAUAUGAGAACAUAAUUAAGACAUUUUUGUUUACUUUGACGUGGAUGAGCAUGAAGCAAUUUAUUGCAACACAAUACGAAUCAUCGAGCAGAUAAAUAUGGAAGUAACUAGAGAUAAGUAGGAUCUUACAUUAAAUUCAGUGUUAG
Molecule: long non-coding RNA, 833 nt
Filed under: Prunus persica (peach)
Lineage: Eukaryota; Viridiplantae; Streptophyta; Magnoliopsida; Rosales; Rosaceae
Description: long non-coding RNA (PPER_LNC007047)
Source: RNAcentral